This 971-nucleotide long non-coding RNA is filed under the name Anser brachyrhynchus (Pink-footed goose). RNAcentral describes it as "lncRNA (ENSABRG00000010881.1)". The record is from RNAcentral. Lineage: Eukaryota; Metazoa; Chordata; Aves; Anseriformes; Anatidae.
AUGAACCUUCCAGCUUGGUGGAUGUGCUGGAGUGAAUCAGAAAGGGCGAGUUUCCUGAAGGCCUGGGAAAAGUUUCCUGAAGGCACAGUGGAAAGCUGUGCCACUGCAUGCGUGCCCCUCUCUGUCGGUCGGCACGAGGUCCCUGCAGGUGCCUGCUCUCUGUGCACCUGGGAACAGCAACUGCAAACCCGAGUGGGUGCCUGCCAUCACCCAACAUCCCUCCCAUGUGAAGUAAUGCCCUCCUCAUCCCGCAAAGAUGGCAUUUUAUGUGAAACCUCCGCUGUGUAGAGGUAGUUGCAGUGGUAUGCCUUCCCGUCAACGAGAGAGCAAAAUAACCUGUGUUUGGGUGAGGAACAAAUAUUAUUUGUAAUACAAAUAUAUUAAAAUUCACAUUCCUAAUGAAUGUAAUUAAACCAAAGUGUUUUUGUUUUUGUUUUUUUUUCCUAACGUGUCUCAAUCUGAAGUGACUGCUCAGAGGCAGCAAAGAGAAAAGAUACCCAAAUGACACUCCAGACCCUCUUCUCCAGCUACAGGAGUACACCCCCUCCAUUUUCCUCUGCAUCAGAAAUGCCCCAAAACGAAGGGAGACGUCCAGACGUCACGCAGUAGAGCAGAGCUCCAUUAAAGCCAAUGCACUUCUUCCUAUUUACAGUAGCCAAAGGGUUCAUCCCUAAUUUCUUUCUGCAGAAGAAUGUGCAAAGCAGAUUUCAGAUGUUUAUGACAAAGCCACGGGUAGGUUGCAGGUUAAUGUACUGCCUAGAGAUGCUCCCAAAGCGUGAAGGAAUGACCAGGAGAGAAAAGGUCAUCUCGCAGGUGUUGCCUAAUUUGCUAUUUCCUCUCUAAAUUGACUUUUGCACUUUUUUUUUUUUUUUUUUCGCAGCGAACAUAGGUACCUCAUGGCACGAUUGUAUUAUUCCUAAAAUGGGUUGCUAAUGCUUGAGAAAUGCUGUUAACAAAAAGAGUAGUCAGGU